AACGAACGCUGGCGGCAUGCCUAACACAUGCCAGUCGAACGAGACCUUCGGGUCUAGUGGCGCACGGGUGCGUAACGCGUGGGAACCUGCCCUUAGGUUCGGAAUAACUCCCCGAAAGGGGUGCUAAUACCGGAUAAUGUCUUCGGACCAAAGAUUUAUCGCCUUUGGAUGGGCCCGCGUUGGAUUAGCUAGUUGGUAGGGUAAAAGCCUACCAAGGCGACGAGCCAUAGCUGGUCUGAGAGGAUGAUCAGCCACACUGGGAGUGAGACACGGCCCAGACGCCUACGGGAGGCAGCAGCGGGGGAGUGUCCGCAAUGGGGGACAGCCUGAUGGAGAAAUACCGAGUGGGGGAAGAAGGCUAUUGGGUUGUAAACAUCUUUUCUGAGGGAAGAACAAAAGGCCGGUACCUAAGGAAUCAGCAUCGGCUAACUCCGUG
Molecule: ribosomal RNA, 436 nt
Filed under: uncultured bacterium
Lineage: Bacteria
Description: partial 16S ribosomal RNA
Rfam family: Bacterial small subunit ribosomal RNA
Source: RNAcentral